This 735-nucleotide ribosomal RNA is filed under the name uncultured Fusobacterium sp. Its description in RNAcentral is "bacterial SSU rRNA". It matches the Rfam family "Bacterial small subunit ribosomal RNA", at positions 28 to 776 of the family's 1533-position model. Lineage: Bacteria; Fusobacteriati; Fusobacteriota; Fusobacteriia; Fusobacteriales; Fusobacteriaceae. The record is from RNAcentral.
GAUGAACGCUGACAGAAUGCUUAACACAUGCAAGUCAACUUGAAUUUGGGUUUUUAACUUAGGUUUGGGUGGCGGACGGGUGAGUAACGCGUAAAGAACUUGCCUCACAGUUAGGGACAACAUUUGGAAACGAAUGCUAAUACCUAAUAUUAUGAUAAUAGGGCAUCCUAUGAUUAUGAAAGCUAUAAGCGCUGUGAGAGAGCUUUGCGUCCCAUUAGCUAGUUGGAGAGGUAACGGCUCACCAAGGCGAUGAUGGGUAGCCGGCCUGAGAGGGUGAUCGGCCACAAGGGGACUGAGACACGGCCCUUACUCCUACGGGAGGCAGCAGUGGGGAAUAUUGGACAAUGGACCAAGAGUCUGAUCCAGCAAUUCUGUGUGCACGAUGAAGUUUUUCGGAAUGUAAAGUGCUUUCAGUUGGGAAGAAAGAAAUGACGGUACCAACAGAAGAAGUGACGGCUAAAUACGUGCCAGCAGCCGCGGUAAUACGUAUGUCACGAGCGUUAUCCGGAUUUAUUGGGCGUAAAGCGCGUCUAGGUGGUUAUGUAAGUCUGAUGUGAAAAUGCAGGGCUCAACUCUGUAUUGCGUUGGAAACUGUAUAACUAGAGUACUGGAGAGGUAAGCGGAACUACAAGUGUAGAGGUGAAAUUCGUAGAUAUUUGUAGGAAUGCCGAUGGGGAAGCCAGCUUACUGGACAGAUACUGACGCUGAAGCGCGAAAGCGUGGGUAGUAAACAGG